GACGAACGCUGGCGGCGUGCCUAACACAUGCAAGUCGAGCGAAUGAAGUUCCUUCGGGAACGGAUUUAGCGGCGGACGGGUGAGUAACACGUGGGCAACCUGCCUCAUAGAGGGGAAUAGCCUUCCGAAAGGGAGAUUAAUACCGCAUAAGAUUGUAGUACCGCAUGGUACAGCAAUUAAAGGAGCAAUCCGCUAUGAGAUGGGCCCGCGGCGCAUUAGCUAGUUGGUGAGGUAACGGCUAACCAAGGCGACGAUGCGUAGCCGACCUGAGAGGGUGAUCGGCCACAUUGGGACUGAGACACGGCCCAGACUCCUACGGGAGGCAGCAGUGGGGAAUAUUGCACAAUGGGGGAAACCCUGAUGCAGCAACGCCGCGUGAGUGAUGACGGCCUUCGGGUUGUAAAGCUCUGUCUUCAGGGACGAUAAUGACGGUACCUGAGGAGGAAGCCACGGCUAACUACGUG
Molecule: ribosomal RNA, 464 nt
Filed under: uncultured bacterium
Lineage: Bacteria
Description: partial 16S ribosomal RNA
Rfam family: Bacterial small subunit ribosomal RNA
Source: RNAcentral